AUUUGUUGAUGCUAGUUAUGUGCAAUCUGUGCUGAUGGUGAUGAUGAUGCUAGUUUUAAGGUUUUGAUGACAAAUGCCUGUGGGGAUUGGAAGUAUAAAUGUAUACUUGGGAAAGAUGUUCAACAAGUGAAACUUACUUCAUUGCUUCUUGCUAGUUUUAGGAUAUCUUUUCCUUUCCAGUUUUUCUCUUGUGCUCAUGCAUGAGCACGCGCUCGUGUGUGUGUGUGGUUGGGUGUGAGGGCCAGUGAAGAACUUGGGCAAUCAAGACACUUCCCUAACAAUCAUUUUGAGUUUGUGGCUACGCCUUACUUUUGAAUUAAAUUAUUUCAAACCUCUUGAAAGAAUAUAUGUUCUGGACUGGGAACAAAAACAAAGGAAAUUGCUGUAGGUUGUGGGGAUAUUAUUACGUGUUUCACUGUUAAACUUGGAAUUGAUACUAAAUACUGUAUUCUGGACUAGCUGUAAUUUCACUAGUUGGCUUAUUGACUUGUCAACACAUAGAAGUAAAAUCUGUAGCUUUUUCUUCUCAAGGUACUGGUGAAAAAUGUGCUCACUGAAGGUAAGCUUAGAGAUUUAGAUGAAGGUUUUGGUUAAGUAACAAAGGAUCAGCAUGCUCUUAGACCGGCCCUUUAUGGUUCCUUUCUUGUCUGGUCCACCUGUCUUGAAAGUUUGCUUUCUUGAUGUUUAGCUGAUUUAGUUUGUUG
Molecule: unclassified non-coding RNA, 704 nt
Filed under: Hevea brasiliensis (rubber tree)
Lineage: Eukaryota; Viridiplantae; Streptophyta; Magnoliopsida; Malpighiales; Euphorbiaceae
Source: RNAcentral